RNAcentral lists this long non-coding RNA (667 nucleotides) under Junco hyemalis (dark-eyed junco). RNAcentral's name for it is "lncRNA (ENSJHYG00000012001.1)". The record is from RNAcentral. Lineage: Eukaryota; Metazoa; Chordata; Aves; Passeriformes; Passerellidae.
GCUGGGGUUAUUUUUGGCUGGGUAACACUUGUUGUGUUCCAUUUGCAGCUCUGUUCCCAAGGAGGGCACAAUCCCUUCCCCGCCCCGGCCUCCACCACUGCGGGCACUGAGCUUUCUCCACCCCAAAACUCCAUCCCUGGAUUUUCAAAGAUGCUGCAGCACGAAUUUUUGGCUGCUGAAAACUUUGGGAGAAGCUGGAUGCUUUUAAGCCCUCGAGCAGCGUGGUGUUAACAUUCCCAAAAAAGCACCAUGGCAACCUCUCAGUGCUCCUGCCUGCAUGGUCAGCAAGCAGAAGUCUCCAAAGGUAAAAAUAUCCUGAAUUUUUUCCCCUCCUUUCCAUUAGACUUUGAUUGGCUCAGUUAAUUCUACACCGGGAGUUAAACGAGGAUGGUGAUUCCAGAUAAAGCCUUGGAGACUUUAUCCAGAUAUUUAUUCCAGGUAAAGCCUUGGAGGUUUUAUCCAGAUUUUUAUUCCAGAUAAAGCCUUGGAGGUUUUAUCCCAGUUAUUAUUCCAGAUAAAGCCUUGGAGACUUUAUCCUGAUAUUUAUUCCAGGUAAAGCCUUGGAGGUUUUAUCCAGAUUUUUAUACCAGAUAAAGCCUUGGAGGUUUUAUUUCUAUUCCAGAUAAAGCCUUGGAGACUUUAUCCAGAUCUUUAUUCCAGAUAAAGC